CUACGGGGUGCAGCAGUGAGGAAUAUUGCACAAUGGGGGGAACCCUGAUGCAGCAACGCCGCGUGGAGGAUGACGCAUUUCGGUGUGUAAACUCCUUUUAUAUGUCAAGAAAAUGACGGUAGCAUAUGAAUAAGCACCGGCGAACUCCGUGCCAGCAGCCGCGGUAAUACGGAGGGUGCAAGCGUUACUCGGAAUCACUGGGCGUAAAGGACGCGUAGGCGGGUUGGAAAGUCAGGUGUGAAAUCCUACAGCUUAACUGUAGAACUGCACUUGAAACUUCUAAUCUAGAGUAUGGGAGGGGGAGAUGGAAUUAGUGGUGUAGGGGUAAAAUCCGUAGAUAUCACUAGGAAUACCAAAAGCGAAGGCGAUCUCCUGGAACAUUACUGACGCUAAGGCGUGAAAGCGUGGGGAGCAAACAGGAUUAGAUACCCCUGUAGUC
This 439-nucleotide ribosomal RNA is filed under the name uncultured bacterium. RNAcentral's name for it is "partial 16S ribosomal RNA". It matches the Rfam family "Bacterial small subunit ribosomal RNA", at positions 339 to 795 of the family's 1533-position model. The record is from RNAcentral.